CGCUGGUGCUUAUAUAAUGGGGCGCAGUCGAAAUCCCAGUCGCCCGCCAUCGCUGUGAGAUUCGGACGCUGGGGCCCGCGUCCAAGUCAUUGACCGGUGUUUUCCUCAUAUACGAGCGCACCUACGUACAAUCGCUGUGUACUUUAUACGAAUAUACGGUGGGCCAACCCCACGUCGCUCGGUGUACCAAGCCACUGCGCCACCUGCCCCAGUUCUAAUUUCGAAGCACUCGUCCUCCCAAACCGAGCCUCCCCUUCCUCUGCUCUUCCGCCGUCGUCCUCCAUGCAGAUCCAUGGCCGCCCCCAAGGUUUUACUGAGCUGCUUAUCAGCAUGAAGAGGUCUGGCGUGGCAGCAGGUCGAGUGCUUGGAGAAGUUCGUCGCCGGCAACGCCAUGGACACCCGUCGUGCGUCCACCGGGCUCCACGAUGACCUGCGUCGAGGACGCCUCCACCUUGGUUGGAUCUGCAGCUCGCUGUCAUCUCGCAGCUUGUCAGACGAGGGACCCCGUGGAAUUAGGUUAUCUUUUGGAGGCGCCGCGUCGCCGGGAUCUGAAACCGGCGCCAUCCAUCCAAGUGGAUCUGGCUCCAGAUACAAAAGUGAGGCCAGAUUCGUCAGUCGCCAUCCUCAGGCACGUCGCCGGUGCCUGAGAUUCCGGCCAAGUCCACGCUCGCCGGGCAUCCGGCUCUCCGUAUUUUUUCUGGCGCUUUGUGGUCUGCUGAAUCAGCUUCUUCUGAGCUUCGGUCCUCUGUUUGGGCGGAUGACAUCUGUAAUUUCAUGGGUUCUGCAAAGAGGCAUUGUACAGAAAAGAGCAAGAUACCCGUAGAUAGCGACGUAAUCAGAAAACAGCUAAUAAGUGAUCUGGAAGGGUAUUUAAGUCAAAAAUUCCGGAGCAUAUAAGGGAAGACCUGAUUCAAUCCCUUAUAUUAUACUUCCAUGACAUAUUUGAUGGAUGCUAAAGCUUUUUCGUGGAUUUUUUCUGAAGGUAAUAAUAAUAAGCUUACCUAUAUUUUUUCACAGCCGGUGCAAACAUAAUCUUACUGAAAAUACCAUGUCUCAUGCGGAAAUGCAUGUUUCUGGUUAUGGUGAUGAUCCUAUUGUCCAGUUUGUAUAUUUACAAUAUUGCCCUUCAAUACUAACAGGCUGUCGUGCUUCACAAUGUAGGUGGCGGUGGAAUCCUGUUCGUCUACUACUCUAAUACAAGCUACUUGUGCCUUCUGCUGCUUAUUAUUUUUAGGAAAUUUUUGUUUUCUAAGAUGAGAUGAGAAGUAGAGUGGCCAACUCAGUUUGCUUUCGUUCUAUAUGCUAUGGGCUUGUAACCCCAGUCUCGUUCCACCCCUUCUGUUUGUACUAUGCAGCAAAUUAUCUGUGUCUUUCUAAUAGACAUACCAUAGAGGGUACACUAUGAGCUACCACAAUGUACUCUAUGGAACAGUAUCAAAGGACAGAAUGCUUAAGAAAA
Molecule: non-coding RNA, 1459 nt
Organism: Lolium perenne
Lineage: Eukaryota; Viridiplantae; Streptophyta; Magnoliopsida; Poales; Poaceae
Source: RefSeq, a predicted model, not a curated record